Pelobates cultripes (western spadefoot toad) is the source of this 467-nucleotide non-coding RNA. NCBI's taxonomy places the organism in Eukaryota, Metazoa, Chordata, Amphibia, Anura, Pelobatidae. The record is from the annotation of a GenBank genome assembly.
CUAAUUUCUACCAUGGUAGGGUGGUGUCUCCUUCCAGCCAAGAGUCCCAAAUUCUAUGUAAAGAUUUAGGAGUGUCAUAAAUUUGGCUCAUAACUUGUCUACGUCCAGGUUAUCCUGAAUUUUCUUGUGGAUUGUCAGGGUGGAAGAGAUUUUGGUGGUGGACCAGAGUUUGCGUAUGGCUCGUUUUGUACCAAAGGCUAGUCAGGAUGAAAAUUUAAGGGGAUUUGGGAGUUAAGAACCAUCUGAAUAACAUCUUGUAAGCCUGUUCAAGAUGUGUCACACAGAUGGUAAGGGAAGCAGUACCUUCCCAUAUGUUGGCCAGUCUAAAGACCCAUUCAGAGUGAUUCCCAAGCUGCAAUGUACGGGAGUAUAAGGUGGGAUUUAUGAGUGACCAGGGAUAGAUAUAUGUCCGAUAUAUGGCCUUUUCUCAAAAGUUGUUAAUGGAGCUGUUCCCGCUUUCAACUGUG